Molecule: ribosomal RNA, 497 nt
Filed under: uncultured bacterium
Lineage: Bacteria
Description: partial 16S ribosomal RNA
Rfam family: Bacterial small subunit ribosomal RNA
Source: RNAcentral
GAUGAACGCUGGCGGCGUGCCUAAUACAUGCAAGUAGAACGCUGAAGGAAGGAGCUUGCUCUUUCCGGAUGAGUUGCGAACGGGUGAGUAACGCGUAGGUAACCUGCCUGGUAGCGGGGGAUAACUAUUGGAAACGAUAGCUAAUACCGCAUAACAGUAGAUGUUGCAUGAUAUCUACUUAAAAGGUGCAAUUGCACCACUACCAGAUGGACCUGCGUUGUAUUAGCUAGUUGGUGAGGUAACGGCUCACCAAGGCGACGAUACAUAGCCGACCUGAGAGGGUGAUCGGCCACACUGGGACUGAGACACGGCCCAGACUCCUACGGGAGGCAGCAGUAGGGAAUCUUCGGCAAUGGACGGAAGUCUGACCGAGCAACGCCGCGGGAGUGAAGAAGGGUUUCGGAUCGUAAAGCUCUGUUGUAAGAGAAGAACGAGUGUGAGAGUGGAAAGUUCGCACUGUGACGGUAUCUUACCAGAAAGGGACGGCUAACUACGUG